GGGCGGUGAGGGCUCCCGGCGGGAGGCGGCGGCCUCCGGCGUCCGUAGCGGGAUUUUAACGUUGAAAUACCUCCAUCGCCUCGCUCUCCACGCCGGGGUUUUAGCCUUUGGGGGGUCGGAGAGCCUUGGUGGUGGCUGUCGAGCCUCAGCGUCCUGCACCGCCCGCCGGCCCGGCCCGGCCCCUCGUCCCCGGCCUGGCCUCAGGUGGCCCGCCAGGGGAAGAUCCAAGCCCGCGGGCAAAAAGAGCCAUCCGAGGGGCAACCUGGUUGGGACCGGGCCAGCAUCCGCUCCCCGGCACGGAAGAUGCUUCUGCCGCCGGUUUGCCAAGCAGAGAUGCCCUCAGGCUUCGCGUGUCCCGUGGGAGCGACGCAGCGCGGUACCAAGUGGGAUUUUAAGGGGAGGAAGAAAACACGUGUCCCAGCACCUCUCCGUUUUGCCCGGCCAGCUGGAGACGGCAUCAUCUUAAGCAAGUCUAAGAGCAGCUUUGAACUUGGAGAGUGUUUGUUCACCAAAAGGUCGGUUGUUGGUACGUUACAGAGAACAACACGCCUCUUAUUUCCAGAGCCCGGCCAGCGCCAGCCAAGGGGAAAGCCUGACGUAGGAGGGAGCAGGUGACACGUGGGGGUUGGGGCAGGAGGUGACAGUCUCCUCACCCUGCCCCGAUGCCAAAAUCCCGCAGGCAGUGAGUGGCACGAGGGGAAGGAGUUGCCCGUGUGAUGCCUCAGGGCAGCUCUGCGCAGCCCCCAGUGGGUCUUUGCUGCUGCCCUGGGGUUUUCCCUGCAGAACUGCCUUUUCCUUUUUGUGGGAAGGAUCCCACAAAACUGGUUCAGGCUGGAUAUUAGGAAAAAUUUUUUCACUGAAAGGGUCAUCAGACAUUGGAAUGGGCUGCCCAGGGAGGUGGUUGAGGCACCAUCCCUGGAGGUGUUAAAAAGACAGGUUGAUGUAGUGCUGGGAGGUAUGGUUUAGUGAUGGUGUUGCUUCUUGUUUGUUGUGCGGGUGUCUAUUUUUGUCAGUUAGGUUGAUGGUUGGACAAGAUGAUCUUUGAGGUCCCUUCCAACCUAGAAAAUUCUGUGAUUCUGUGGUGCCGCUAUCCAGUUUCUGGCAAUUACU
Molecule: long non-coding RNA, 1110 nt
Filed under: Calidris pugnax (ruff)
Lineage: Eukaryota; Metazoa; Chordata; Aves; Charadriiformes; Scolopacidae
Description: lncRNA (ENSCPUG00000012970.1)
Source: RNAcentral